Molecule: ribosomal RNA, 376 nt
Filed under: uncultured bacterium
Lineage: Bacteria
Description: bacterial SSU rRNA
Rfam family: Bacterial small subunit ribosomal RNA
Source: RNAcentral
UACGGAGGGUGCAAGCGUUGCUCGGAAUUAUUGGGCGUAAAGGGCAGGUAGGUGGUCUCAUUUGUCUGGGGUGAAAUCCUUGGGCUUAACCUGAGAAGUGCCCCAGAAACGGUGAGACUUGAGUAUCGGAGAGGCGAGUGGAAUUCCCGGUGUAGCGGUGAAAUGCGUAGAGAUCGGGAGGAACACCAGAGGCGAAGGCGGCUCGCUGGACGAUGACUGACACUCAACUGCGAAAGCGUGGGGAGCAAACAGGAUUAGAUACCCUGGUAGUCCACGCUGUAAACGAUGGGUACUAGGCUUGGUGGGUCUUGACCCCUGCUGAGCCGGCGCUAACGCAAUAAGUACCCCGCCUGGGAAGUACGGUCGCAAGACUAAA